RNAcentral lists this long non-coding RNA (411 nucleotides) under Homo sapiens (human). RNAcentral's name for it is "non-protein coding lnc-MDH1B-4:1". Lineage: Eukaryota; Metazoa; Chordata; Mammalia; Primates; Hominidae. The record is from RNAcentral.
ACAGCUGCAAAAAUUGACUUAGGUUGGCUUCAAAUGUGAUAAGUAAGGAUUAGGAAUUAAAACAGCUCUGAUCAAAGCAUAAAGAACAGCCUGAACAGUUAGCCUUUGUAUAGAAGGAUAGAGUAUAAAUAAAAGGAAUAAUGAUGCAUUCCUUAUUUUUUUCUACAUGUAGGACUUGUCAUUAAAGAAGGGUCUGUAGGUUUGCUGCUUUGAAGCACUAUCCUUUGACUUCACCAUUAUCAGCCCUUUCCACAGCAACACCUGCUCUGCAAAUUUCAACUAACACUGCUCCAACUAAGACCCCAUUCAGAGUCAUAUGGUAGCUAGUGGUAGUGCAGAAUUGGUCACAAUUGGUGACCAAUUCUGCACUAACAUCCUACCUGAUGUCAGCAGCUCACUGAUGAUGUCUUU